GCCCAGGUGGUGGAAUUGGUAGACACACUAGCUUGAGGGGCUAGCGGAAGUUCUUCUGUACGAGUUCGAAUCUCGUCCUGGGCA
Molecule: transfer RNA, 84 nt
Filed under: Spirochaetota bacterium
Lineage: Bacteria; Pseudomonadati; Spirochaetota
Description: Spirochaetes bacterium (wastewater metagenome) tRNA-Leu
Rfam family: tRNA
About the family: Transfer RNA (tRNA) molecules are approximately 80 nucleotides in length. Their secondary structure includes four short double-helical elements and three loops (D, anti-codon, and T loops).
Source: RNAcentral